This 716-nucleotide ribosomal RNA is filed under the name Bacillus sp. (in: firmicutes). RNAcentral's name for it is "bacterial SSU rRNA". It matches the Rfam family "Bacterial small subunit ribosomal RNA", at positions 56 to 755 of the family's 1533-position model. Lineage: Bacteria; Bacillati; Bacillota; Bacilli; Caryophanales; Bacillaceae. The record is from RNAcentral.
UGCAAGUCGAGCGGAUCUUCAUUAGCUUGCUUUUGAAGAUCAGCGGCGGACGGGUGAGUAACACGUGGGCAACCUGCCUGUAAGACUGGGAUAACUUCGGGAAACCGGAGCUAAUACCGGAUAAUCCUUUCCCUCACAUGAGGGAAAGCUGAAAGACGGUUUCGGCUGUCACUUACAGAUGGGCCCGCGGCGCAUUAGCUAGUUGGUGAGGUAACGGCUCACCAAGGCAACGAUGCGUAGCCGACCUGAGAGGGUGAUCGGCCACACUGGGACUGAGACACGGCCCAGACUCCUACGGGAGGCAGCAGUAGGGAAUCUUCCGCAAUGGACGAAAGUCUGACGGAGCAACGCCGCGUGAACGAUGAAGGCUUUCGGGUCGUAAAGUUCUGUUGUCAGGGAAGAACAAGUACCGGAGUAACUGCCGGUACCUUGACGGUACCUGACCAGAAAGCCACGGCUAACUACGUGCCAGCAGCCGCGGUAAUACGUAGGUGGCAAGCGUUGUCCGGAAUUAUUGGGCGUAAAGCGCGCGCAGGCGGUUCCUUAAGUCUGAUGUGAAAGCCCCCGGCUCAACCGGGGAGGGUCAUUGGAAACUGGGGAACUUGAGUGCAGAAGAGGAGAGCGGAAUUCCACGUGUAGCGGUGAAAUGCGUAGAGAUGUGGAGGAACACCAGUGGCGAAGGCGGCUCUCUGGUCUGUAACUGACGCUGAGGCGCG